GGAUGGGUGGCCGAGCGGUUUAAGGCAGCGGUCUUGAAAACCGCCGGGCGCGCGAGCGCCCCGUGGGUUCGAAUCCCACCCCAUCCGCCA
RNAcentral lists this transfer RNA (90 nucleotides) under Rhodospirillales bacterium. RNAcentral describes it as "tRNA-Ser". It matches the Rfam family "tRNA". Rfam says of the family: Transfer RNA (tRNA) molecules are approximately 80 nucleotides in length. Their secondary structure includes four short double-helical elements and three loops (D, anti-codon, and T loops). Lineage: Bacteria; Pseudomonadati; Pseudomonadota; Alphaproteobacteria; Rhodospirillales. The record is from RNAcentral.